GACGAACGCUGGCGGCGUGCUUAACACAUGCAAGUCGAACGGAAAGGCCCUGCUUUUGUGGGGUGCUCGAGUUGCGUACGGGUGAGCAACACGUGAGUAACCUGCCCUUGACUUUGGGAUAACUUCAGUAAACUGCGGCUAAUACCGGAUAGGAGCUCCUGCUGCAUGGUUGGGGUUGGAAAGUUUCGUCGGUUGGGGAUGGACUCGCGGCUUAUCAGCUUGUUGGUGGGGUAGUGGCUUACCAAGGCUUUGACGGGUAGCCGGCCUGAUAGGGUGACCGGCCACAUUGGGAGUGAAAGACGGCACAGACUACUAAGGGAGGCAGAAGAGGGGAAUGUAGCAAAAUGAGCGGAAGCAUGAUGCAGCAAGGAAGCGUGCGGGAUGACGGCAUGCGGGUUGGAAACAGCUUUCGCCUGUGACGAAGCGUGAAUGACGGUAAUGGGUAAAGAAGCACCGGCUAACUACGUG
Molecule: ribosomal RNA, 468 nt
Filed under: uncultured bacterium
Lineage: Bacteria
Description: partial 16S ribosomal RNA
Rfam family: Bacterial small subunit ribosomal RNA
Source: RNAcentral